Molecule: ribosomal RNA, 422 nt
Filed under: uncultured bacterium
Lineage: Bacteria
Description: partial 16S ribosomal RNA
Rfam family: Bacterial small subunit ribosomal RNA
Source: RNAcentral
AAUAUUGGACAAUGGGCGAAAGCCUGAUCCAGCCAUGCCGCGUGUGUGAAGAAGGUCUUCGGAUUGUAAAGCACUUUAAGUUGGGAGGAAGGGCAGUAAGUUAAUACCUUGCUGUUAUGACGUUACCGACAGAAUAAGCACCGGCUAACCUCGCGCCAGCAGCCGCGGUAAUACGAAGGGGGCAAGCGUUAGUCGGAAUUACUGGGCGUAAAACGCGCGUAGGUGGUUUGUUAAGUUGGAAGUGAAAGCCCCGGGCUCAACCUGGGAGCUGCUUUCAAAACUGGCAGGCUAGAGUAUGGCAGAGGGUGGUGGAAUUUCCUGUGUAGCGGUGAAAUGCGUAGAUAUAGGAAGGAACACCAGUGGCGAAGGCGACCACCUGGGCUAAUACUGACACUGAGGUGCGAAAGCGUGGGGAGCAAACA